GAGGAAACUGUAAAAGCAAAGCAAACAGAUGAGCCCUUAGACUUUUGAAAUGUGGACACAUACUGAGUCUGGUCUUUGGAAACUUCUAUUUGGACCAAAAUGCUGUCUCAUCACAAAGAUCUUAGAAGGUCUUUCAUAAAAUCUGAACUGGAAGAGCUCUUCGAUAGACCUUCAUUCUCAGAGCUCUUUGCACAAGUCGUGGAUACACGGUGAUCGGCUUUUGUUUGAAUGUCUCCAGUGAUGGAGGACACACUACCGUACAAAGCAAUUCGUUCCGUUUUGCAGACAAGUUCAACUUGUUCGGCAUUUACACAGCAUUGCCCACUGGGCCUACUUAAAUUCUUUGGAGAAGCAUAGAAGAACAUCGUUUUCUUUUUCUCCAUGACAGUCUUUGAAGUAUUUGAAGAUUGUCUUUAGGUCCCCUUUGGGUGUUCUCUUCUGCAAGCUGAAAAUAGCAAGUUGUUUGGUUGUGCUGUGUCACACCCACCAGACAUCACUGCCUGUUGACUAACCUGGAUCACAGAAUUCUAGAACUGGAAAUCCGGGGAGCUAACAUUUAUGGGGAGUUUUUUUUUAUGGAUCCGCGUGCUGUCGUUUCCCACACAGUAUCUCCUUUAAAUCCUACAACAACCUAGUGAGAUACCGCUGUCACUCUGUCCAUUUCAGAGAUGGGGGCACUGAAGCUCGGAGAGACCCCAGGACAAGAGGUGGUGGAACCCAGAUCUGCCUCCAGAAUGUGGAAUUUGAGCCCAUUUUACAAACGAAGAAACAGCCCCAGAAAAGGAAAGUGACUUGCCUGAAGGCACUAGCCUGCCACGGGGGGGAGCUAGGACUUGAAUUCAGAUCCACCUUCCAGAACAAUGCUCUUUUUCAGGGGCCUCUCCAGGAGGAGAGGAGUCCGUUGGCAGGCUCCUAAUCUGUUUUCCUACUUUGCUCUAAAAACCGCCUCUCCUCAUUUUUGUUGAACAAGCAUUUGUUGGAUCCUUACUGUGUGUCUAGAACAUUUAUUUUAAUCGGAAGCUGGGGUGAUACCCGUGCGACAAGGCUAGGUUUCGAGAAUUUUACAAAACAGCAGGAGGAACUCGUAACACAUUCUGAGGUAUUUUCAUGCUAAAUCAGUGGUGGUGUUUGUAUUUCUUGGCAAUGAAAUCGUGUUAAAAAUAAGCUGCAAAUACUUGUUCAGAAGCCAGUGGAUGAUCUUCAGCAUACUUGCACUCGUUUCAGAAUCCAUUCUACAAGCUUAAACUUACUUUACUCGACUCUCAAACAUUAUCUGUACCAUUUCCCCACUGAAACUUCUGGGAGCUUCCAGCUGCCUGAAGGCUCUAUCAUUUUGGACAAGUUACUGCUCAUCUUCGAGACUGGGAUCCUUACUCUUGGGCACAGUUAUUGCGAGGAUAAAAGUCAGAUAAUGUUGAAAAGCAUCUAGCACAAAAUCGGACACCGGAGGCUUACGAUAAACGAUAAGUAUUAGGCUUACGCAUUCCUUUGUGGUUGGUUAACCCCUCGUUUCACAUUCAUGUGCUGCUUUGCAUUUUACAGAAUGUAGUUACGGACAUUAUUACCUCUCGUUUGGUCUCCCAAACAACCUGGUGAGGUAGAACAAAGAUUACCAUCCUUAUUUUACCAGUAAGAGAGGUUGAGAAACUGGCCUAUGUGACACCCUGCAGAACUGGUCUCCAUUCAUUGUUCCAUCUCGCCCACUGCCGCAGUGGCCAGUGUGAGGCGGGGUUCCUCAGAUUUCCCCCAUUUAGUUAGCAAAUAUUUAUUGCAACUCAAAUAAUUGAGCUGGACAUUUGUCCUGUUUGCGGCAUAUCUGGUUAAUCAGCAGAAUGCUUGGCGUAUAGUAGUUGCUCAAUAAAUACUUGCCCAAUGAAUGGCUGGAUUAAACCAGUUUUCUGAGUAACUCACUAGAUCACCCUGCUGCCGCCAGAGGGGCAGGAACCCUUGCAGGGACUGGGAGAGACCAGCUGGAGGGAAAAGCUGGUACGAGAUGAGACGCUUUACAAGCACCCACGUCAUGGGUGACUCUCAGAAUAAUUACGCUGGCGAAAAGAUGCCAAAGAAUGUUCCGUGUGAUUCGUUUUUAUAAAACUGUAGAAAAUGUAAACCAAUCUAUUGGACAGAAGGCAGUUAGGUGUUUGCCUGGGGACGGAAUGGGGUGGAGCGGGGAGGGAGUAGUUUCAAAGAGGCAUGAGGAAACAUGGUGGUGACGGUUUUAUGGGCAUAUAAAUAUGUUUAAAUGUAUCAAAUUAUAUUACUUUAAAUAUGUGUUUGCUGUCAGUUACACCUCCAUAAAGCUGUUUGAAGAGGAAGAGAAGGAAAGAGAAGCGAUGAAGAAGGGAGGAAAAGGACAAGAGGCCGGUUCUCCUUUUUGCCUCUACAAAUGCUAAUGCCAAGGCCCAUCCAUUAUGAGGCUGGUUCUCUGUCCCUUUCGUGAUCAGUAUCUUGGCAUGGCAGGUGGAGAAAGGAUCGGCCUGGGACUCAGGAGGCCUGGUUCCUGUCUCUGCCACUCACAAUGGCAUGAUGUUGGGCGUUAGCCUGACCUCUGUCAGCCCCAACCUCCCAUUUAUAGUUUUGCGAUGUUUGCCCACUCAACCUCAGCAUCAAAUGGAAGUUACCUAAGGUGACACGUAUCAAAGUUCUUAACCAACCGAGCCACCCAGACGUCCUACACAUAUCAGAGUUCUUAGUGAAAUGUGAGAGUGUAGGUCAAAGGGAGGAUGACAGGAAAUGAGCCCUGACCCUCUUUCUGGCCUAGUCAUGAGAACAAAUGCGACACGGAACACAGAGACCCACAGCAGCAGCUGCAUUGCUUGAGCUCUCUGUUCUUUGGCUAAAUGAUCCCGGACUCCUACAGUAUAAGUUUUCUUGUGUCCACUGGCUAUAAUUUAUCAAGAGCUGUGUUCUAGAUCAAGCUGUGCCUCACACUCGCUCGGAACUUGAACAGUCAUGGUUCCACUCAGUGUGUCUGUCAAAUGAGGGGAAUAGAUUUGUUGGCCCCUGCAGGCCUUCUGGCCCUUGCCUUGCAGGAUUCUAUCACCUUCUUGUCAAACUAUUUGCCCACCUUGAUGACUCCAGACGGGAGAAGUGUGGCCAGCGGCCAUUCUCACAUCUCUGACCUUCAGUGACCUUGCGGCAUCAGGGAAAUGGUAACCUUUACCACCUCCCCAGCCCUCACCAACACAUGUAUACACACACACACACGCACAUUUUGUUUUUAUUUUGUUCUCCAAACACCAGGUCGACCUAUAAACAGAUAUACCAGAUAUCUUUUUGAGUUCAUUCACUCAAAAUCUAUGACAUUAGGUUAAAAAUCUUACCUCCCAGAAAGCUUGGUCAUCAAAAUAUUUAGAUACAUGAGGUCCUCUCCAUAUUUUGAGGUUUAAGACCAAACCUGUUAAAAUUCAAAAUUACGUGCUAAACAGUUAGGGCACAGCGUUUGUUAUCUCAAAAUUAAUAAAUAUAUCCUAUGCCAGGCAUGCUUAUCUCCACAAAAAUCCCUUUUUCUUCUACAACCAGGAGACAGACAAAUUGGAGUGCUGUCCUUCCUGGACCGGCUUAGUUAAUUCUAUAAACACCUUUUAAAGGAAACUGGCAAGUGCAAUUAUAUCUCCAAAGGAUUAAGAUGACAGUGAGAGGUAUGCAAUAGCCACGGAUCUGACAUGCUUCCCAAGAUGGAAUAGAACAUGGUGCCCCUACCUAAAAGUGGAUCCUUUAAGAACACAGGAACUACCAUGGACAGCAACUCCAAUUAGGUGGCCCUGUAGGUCCUGCGUCACCAGCUCCAAUAAACUCUCCAUGACCUCA
This is a long non-coding RNA of Herpailurus yagouaroundi (jaguarundi), 3810 nucleotides long. RefSeq lists it as uncharacterized. The record is from RefSeq and is a predicted model, not a curated record. The transcript is spliced from 2 exons. Lineage: Eukaryota; Metazoa; Chordata; Mammalia; Carnivora; Felidae.